RNAcentral lists this ribosomal RNA (468 nucleotides) under uncultured bacterium. Its description in RNAcentral is "partial 16S ribosomal RNA". It matches the Rfam family "Bacterial small subunit ribosomal RNA", at positions 28 to 507 of the family's 1533-position model. The record is from RNAcentral.
GACGAACGCUUUCUUCUUUCUUAACACCUGCAAGUCGAACGGAAAGGCCCUGCUUUUGUGGGGUGCUCGAGUGGCGAACGGGUGAGUAACACGUGAGUAACCUGCCCUUGACUUUGGGAUAACUUCAGGAAACUGGGGCUAAUACCGGAUAGGAGCUCCUGCUGCAUGGUGGGGGUUGGAAAGUUUCGGCGGUUGGGGAUGGACUCGCGGCUUAUCAGCUUGUUGGUGGGGUAGUGGCUUACCAAGGCUUUGACGGGUAGCCGGCCUGAGAGGGUGACCGGCCACAUUGGGACUGAGAUACGGCCCAGACUCCUACGGGAGGCAGCAGUGGGGAAUAUUGCACAAUGGGCGGAAGCCUGAUGCAGCAACGCCGCGUGCGGGAUGACGGCCUUCGGGUUGUAAACCGCUUUCGCCUGUGACGAAGCGUGAGUGACGGUAAUGGGUAAAGAAGCAACGGCUAACUACGUG